GACGAACGCUGGCGGCGUGCUUAACACAUGCAAGUCGAACGGAAAGGCCCUGCUUUUGUGGGGUGCUCGAGUGGCGAACGGGUGAGUAACACGUGAGUAACCUGCCCUUGACUUUGGGAUAACUUCAGGAAACUGGGGCUAAUACCGGAUAGGAGCUCCUGCUGCAUGGUGGGGGUUGGAAAGUUUCGGCUGUUGGGGAUGGACUCGCGGCUUAUCAGCUUGUUGGUGGGGUAGUGGCUUACCAAGGCUUUGACGGGUAGCCGGCCUGAGAGGGUGACCGGCGACAUUGGGACUGAGAUACGGCCCAGACUCCUACGGGAGGCAGCAGUGGGGAAUAUUGCACAAUGGGAGGGAGCCUGAUGAAGCAACGCCGCGUGCGGGAUGACGGCCUUCGGGGUGUAAACCGCUUUCGCCUGUGACGAAGCGUGAGUGACGGUAAUGGGUAAAGAAGCACCGGCUAACUACGUG
RNAcentral lists this ribosomal RNA (468 nucleotides) under uncultured bacterium. RNAcentral describes it as "partial 16S ribosomal RNA". It matches the Rfam family "Bacterial small subunit ribosomal RNA", at positions 28 to 507 of the family's 1533-position model. The record is from RNAcentral.